UUUUGUCUCCACCAUUGAAGACAUAUUGCAACAGUGGGGCCUCACUGCAUCCACUUAUUCAGCAGAUUCUGGUUAUUGGCCACAGCAUAGGAAGUCAGAGAAGCUCUCUUAUGUUGGACAUAAUUUCAUUGUUAGCCUCCACGUGUCUGGAGAGAAGAAACGAGCGAUAGCCAAACAAUGAGGUGAUUGGUGGUAGUGGGUGUGGUUUAUAAUGGAUGUGGUUUGCUAUAGAUCAGGAUUGGCCUGAUGCUAUGGUACAUAUGAUGGAUUCAUCAAGUGAUUUCCCUCCAAGAGCUCAUCAUCAUAUCUCUAGAUGGUAUGGUGUUGAUCAGUUUAUAUUGAUAUCUCCUGAUGAGAAGAGUCAUGCAAUAUCAAGUGAAGCUCAGUCCAAACUAUUACUCAGUUCAAUAUCUCUGGCUGUAGCUAACACUGGAUGAUACAGAAGAAUUGGUGUCACAUGUUUAGCGGACAGUGUGAGGGGUAUGGUCUUCGUACGUGUUUUGAAAUGAUACAUUUGAGACAUAUUCCACCUCACUUUAGUCACCUCUCAGGACUACUGAACUUAUUCCGAUCAAAACUGAAUGGUGUGAAUGUUAAUCCUCCUAAUAUUAAUAUUGCUGCCAGACUAACAUAUUGUCUAAGACACUGGAAUGCGGAGGAUUGACCAGUGGGUCCACUCUCAUCUGGUGAUGGGAGUGAUUCUUUCCUUACCCUGCCAGUAGGAGCAAGUUCUGAUCCUAUACAG
RNAcentral lists this unclassified non-coding RNA (745 nucleotides) under Amphimedon queenslandica. RNAcentral's name for it is "rab3 GTPase-activating protein catalytic subunit- like, transcript variant X2". The record is from RNAcentral. Lineage: Eukaryota; Metazoa; Porifera; Demospongiae; Haplosclerida; Niphatidae.